UACGGAGGGGGCCAGCGUUGCUCGGAAUUAUUGGGCGUAAAGGGCGCGUAGGCGGCUUGGUAAGUUUGAUGUGAAAUCCCAUGGCUCAACCAUGGAACUGCAUCUCAUACUGCCGAGCUAGAGUCUGGGAGAGGGAAGCGGAAUUCCCGGUGUAGCGGUGAAACGCGUAGAUAUCGGAAGGAACAUCAGUGGCGAAGGCGACUUCCUGGACCAAUACUGACGCUCAUGUGCGAAAGCGUGGGGAGCAAACAGG
This 253-nucleotide ribosomal RNA is filed under the name uncultured bacterium. RNAcentral's name for it is "partial 16S ribosomal RNA". It matches the Rfam family "Bacterial small subunit ribosomal RNA", at positions 524 to 776 of the family's 1533-position model. The record is from RNAcentral.